UGCACAAUCGCACUAGCACCUUCAUCCGUAUAGACGGCUGCUCGAAAGUAUAUGGAAAUGGAGGGACCGAGAUGUCUAUAAAUACGGCCAUCCGGCAAGCGCAAUAUGAAAUACACAGCUGAAACUUAUCAUCACAGGCCAGCCAGACUGAGCUCUGAUGGGGUUCUUGGCCAGAGCUUGGCGUUUCAUGGUACUACUCCAGAUCGCUCUCUUCACCGUCUCCGCGGUGAUGAUGACCGGUUCCUUGACUGUGGCCCGCGAGAUCAGUGGUUCCGCGGCAGUGGUGCGCGACAUCAAUGGUGGUACUCUGGACCCUAACCGUCCUGUGUGUGUCAACGGACCGUGCAGACCUGGUGAACCCUACAUCCCUCGUCCUCGUCCAUGCCGCACAAUCUACGGGUGCCGUGACCAACCCCCCUCUCCCUAAUAAUGGAAGCAAGGAUACAGCCUUUAUGCAUGCUUCGUACCAGUACAGGUUACUGCAGUGUACUGAAACGACUGUAGUAUCCCCUCCUAUGUGUGCUUACAUCUUUAAUACUCCGAAUAAAACAGGAAGCAUGUCCGGCCAUGAAAUUAUUGUAUGAACAUGGAAGUACAAUUCCGAAUCUACAAGAGACGGAGUAACUCA
Long non-coding RNA from Lolium perenne, 628 nucleotides. RefSeq lists it as uncharacterized. The record is from RefSeq and is a predicted model, not a curated record. Lineage: Eukaryota; Viridiplantae; Streptophyta; Magnoliopsida; Poales; Poaceae.